GAUGACUACUCUAAUCCCAUAGAAGAUUUGAAACAUCUUCAAAUGUAUUUGGAAGGGAAGUUAAGGAAAACCGGAUAGUUGAAUACACUAGACGAAAGGCAAAGAUUGAUCUUCUGUAAAGAAACCACGGGCUACACACUUACUACUAUAAUGGAAGUUGUUGCAUAUGGAGAAGACAUGGCCAUUUUUCUAAUAGAGUUUUCAAGUUUUAAACAUUUUGAUAUUCUUUGGUCCUAUAAUAUUGUGAUACAUACUGAGUUUUUCCUUUUUACCUUUGUAGCUCUUGCACUUGCUCUUACUACUCCAAAUCUAUAUGAUUUCUACAACUAUAGACCUACUAAACCAAAUACAAUUUACUUCUAAAUGAGUUCAUACAGGAGUAAAAUCACUCUCUCUUGCACUUUAUAUUAAUAACCAAACACAACAUUUAUCAAAAUGAGAUCCAAUGCAAGAAAUUUUAUUCAUAUAUUUCAUACCUUUCAUUCUAACAACAUUUAUCAAAACCGCACACUCAUCACGUUGUUCUUGAACAAAGUUUCAGGGGAAAAUUUGUGGUGUAGUUAAUCGAUAGAGAUCAAGGUGAAAGGAUUCAGUGAGAUGAUGGUGCAGUUCUGUUAUCACAUUAUACAUGUUUAUGAUACAUAUGACACAACUACCAGAAACUGACAUCAAGAGGUCUUUGAACUUAU
Long non-coding RNA from Vicia villosa (hairy vetch), 689 nucleotides. RefSeq lists it as uncharacterized. The transcript has 3 exons. Lineage: Eukaryota; Viridiplantae; Streptophyta; Magnoliopsida; Fabales; Fabaceae. The record is from RefSeq and is a predicted model, not a curated record.